GGUCGCUUAGCUCAGUUGGUUAGAGCGUGGUGCUAAUACCUUGUAUGACACGCCAAGGUCGCGAGUUCGACCCUCGUAGUGACCA
Non-coding RNA from Decorospora gaudefroyi, 85 nucleotides. Lineage: Eukaryota; Fungi; Ascomycota; Dothideomycetes; Pleosporales; Pleosporaceae. The record is from the annotation of a GenBank genome assembly.